Molecule: long non-coding RNA, 154 nt
Organism: Cervus elaphus (red deer)
Lineage: Eukaryota; Metazoa; Chordata; Mammalia; Artiodactyla; Cervidae
Exons: 3
Source: RefSeq, a predicted model, not a curated record
GGAGAAACUAACUUGUGAAGCUUCCUUGAGAUGGCUACUUAUGUGAACAGAAAUACGGAUAAGGAAGCAUAUCUGGUUCUAAUUUCUGAACUCAACACCAGAUGUUUUCAAGGCAGCACAGUGGUAAAGAAUCCGCCUCCAAUAUAGGAGAUGC